GACGAACGCUGGCGGCGUGCUUAACACAUGCAAGUCGAACGGAAAGGCCCUGCUUUUGUGGGGUGCUCGAGUGGCGAACGGGUUAUUAACUCUUGUGUAACCUGCCCUUGACUUUCGGAUAACUUUAGGAAACUGGGGCUAAUACCGGAUAGUAGCUCCUGCUGCAUGGUGGGGGUUGUAAAGUUUCGGCGGUUGGGGAUGGACUCGCGGCUUAUCAGCUUUUUGUUGGGGUAGUGGAUUACCAAGGCUUUGACCGGUAGCCGGCCUGCGAGGGUGACCGGACAAAUUAGAAUUGAGAUACGGCCCAGACUAGAACGGGGCGCAGCGGUGGAGAGUGGUACACAAUAGGCGGAAGGCUGAUGCAGCAACGCCGCGUGGGGGAUGAGGGGCUGGGGGUUGUAAACCGAUUUCGCCUGAGACGGGGAGUGAGUGACGGUAAUGGGUAAAGAAGCACCGGCUAACUACGUG
This 468-nucleotide ribosomal RNA is filed under the name uncultured bacterium. RNAcentral describes it as "partial 16S ribosomal RNA". It matches the Rfam family "Bacterial small subunit ribosomal RNA", at positions 28 to 507 of the family's 1533-position model. The record is from RNAcentral.